This 220-nucleotide ribosomal RNA is filed under the name Acinetobacter baumannii. RNAcentral describes it as "partial 23S ribosomal RNA". It matches the Rfam family "Bacterial large subunit ribosomal RNA", at positions 2711 to 2925 of the family's 2925-position model. Lineage: Bacteria; Pseudomonadati; Pseudomonadota; Gammaproteobacteria; Moraxellales; Moraxellaceae. The record is from RNAcentral.
GGUGUACCGGUUGUGACGCCAGUCGCAUCGCCGGGUAGCUAUGUUCGGAAGGGAUAACCGCUGAAAGCAUCUAAGCGGGAAGCCUACCUCAAGAUAAGAUUUCCCUAGGACUUUAUGUCCUCUAAAGAGCCGUUCGAGACUAGGACGUUGAUAGGUUGGAUGUGGAAGCAUAGUGAUAUGUGAAGCUGACCAAUACUAAUUGCUCGUGAGGCUUGACUAU